AGUUAUUUGUUUAGGAAACAAUAGAUUUUGAAAAUCUAUAAUAAAUGUUCGAAUCAUUUAAUAACUU
Molecule: transfer RNA, 67 nt
Organism: Helobdella robusta
Lineage: Eukaryota; Metazoa; Annelida; Clitellata; Rhynchobdellida; Glossiphoniidae
Rfam family: tRNA
About the family: Transfer RNA (tRNA) molecules are approximately 80 nucleotides in length. Their secondary structure includes four short double-helical elements and three loops (D, anti-codon, and T loops).
Source: Rfam